UGCGUAGGCGGUUGGGCAAGUCUGGUGUGAAAUCUCCCGGCUUAACUGGGAGGGUGCGCCGGAAACUGCCUGGCUAGAGUGUGGGAGAGGAAAGUGGAAUUCCUGGUGUAGCGGUGAAAUGCGUAGAUAUCAGGAGGAACACCUGCGGUGUAGACGGCUUUCUGGACCACUACUGACGCUGAGGCACGAAAGCGUGGGGAGCAAACAGGAUUAGAUACCCUGGUAGUCCACGCCCUAAACGAUGCGGACUUGGUGUGAGCCCUUCAUUGGGUUCGUGCCGGAGCUAACGCGUUAAGUCCGCCGCCUGGGGAGUACGGUCGCAAGGCUGAA
RNAcentral lists this ribosomal RNA (330 nucleotides) under uncultured bacterium. RNAcentral's name for it is "bacterial SSU rRNA". It matches the Rfam family "Bacterial small subunit ribosomal RNA", at positions 568 to 898 of the family's 1533-position model. The record is from RNAcentral.